RNAcentral lists this ribosomal RNA (253 nucleotides) under uncultured bacterium. RNAcentral describes it as "partial 16S ribosomal RNA". It matches the Rfam family "Bacterial small subunit ribosomal RNA", at positions 524 to 776 of the family's 1533-position model. The record is from RNAcentral.
UACGUAGGAUGCAAGCGUUGUCCGGAAUUAUUGGGCGUAAAGAGCGCGCAGGCGGUCUAUCAAGUCAGAUGUGAAAUAUCCCGGCUUAACCGGGAGGGGUCAUUUGAAACUGGUAGACUAGAGUACAGCAGAGGAUAGUGGAAUUCCCGGUGUAGUGGUGAAAUGCGUAGAUAUCGGGAGGAACACCAGUGGCGAAGGCGACUAUCUGGGCUGAAACUGACGCUGAGGCGCGAAGGCUAGGGGAGCAAACGGG